Molecule: non-coding RNA, 31 nt
Filed under: Homo sapiens (human)
Lineage: Eukaryota; Metazoa; Chordata; Mammalia; Primates; Hominidae
Source: RNAcentral
AAGGAGCCAACCACCAUCUGCUAAGUGUGCU